This 114-nucleotide non-coding RNA is filed under the name unclassified sequences. RNAcentral describes it as "c-di-GMP sequence". It matches the Rfam family "c-di-GMP-II-GAG riboswitch aptamer". The record is from Rfam by way of RNAcentral.
CGUAACGAGCGCGGCUGUGACUUCGGGACGAAAUCGGUCACCACGCCUUCGCGGCUCUUGAGUCUGCGAGGCGUCACCCGAAGUAGCCAAUGGUGAGACCGGCGCCCGGGAACG